UUGGAGGGCAAGUCUGGUGCCAGCAGCCGCGGUAAUUCCAGCUCCAAUAGCGUAUAUUAAAGUUGUUGCAGUUAAAAAGCUCGUAGUUGAAUUUCGGGGUCAGUAGGUUGGUCAUGCCACUGGUAUGUACUGGUCUCACUGAUUCCUCCUUCCUGAUGAACUGUAAUGCCAUUAAUUUGGUGUUGCAGGGAAUCUGGACUGUUACUUUGAAAAAAUUAGAGUGUUUAAAGCAGGCUAACGCCUGAAUACAUUAGCAUGGAAUAAUGAAAUAGGACGUUCGAUCCUAUUUUGUUGGUUUCUAGGAUUGGCGUAAUGAUUAAUAGGGAUAGUUGGGGGCAUUAGUAUUCAAUUGUCAGAGGUGAAAUUCUUGGAUUUAUUGAAGACUAACUACUGCGAAAGCAUUUGCCAAGGAUGUUUUCAUUAAUCAAGAACGAAAGUUAGGGGAUCGAAGACGAUCAGAUACCGUCGUAGUCUUAACCAUAAACUAUGCCGACUAGGGAUCGGAUGAUGUUAAUUUUUUAAUGACUCAUUCGGCGCCUUACGGGAAAC
Molecule: ribosomal RNA, 549 nt
Filed under: uncultured Glomeromycotina
Lineage: Eukaryota; Fungi; Glomeromycota
Description: SSU rRNA
Rfam family: Eukaryotic small subunit ribosomal RNA
Source: RNAcentral